GCGACAUUAUAACUAAUUCUUUUACAACGUAAAUUUGGUGAGAGAACAUUACCUACUUACAGAAGUCUUUUAUACAGGGAAGGGUUGAAUGCGUUAUAUCAUGCUCUUCAUCCCUUUGAUCGAAAGCCAAUUCUUGCCGUCCUACACCCCCAGUCAUUAACCAGGUCUGCAUCACCUGAACUUAAGAGGCGGUAACGAUCAUAUAGGCCACCUGUUGGCCCACUUAAGUAACCCAAAUUAAACCAAACCAAGGACCAUUGUCUUCUAGGUCUUGGGGGACCCAAAAUUAAACCAGAGCACCGACAAUAGGACCACUGCACUGCACACACAACCCCCC
RNAcentral lists this long non-coding RNA (337 nucleotides) under Prunus persica (peach). RNAcentral describes it as "long non-coding RNA (PPER_LNC005690)". The record is from RNAcentral. Lineage: Eukaryota; Viridiplantae; Streptophyta; Magnoliopsida; Rosales; Rosaceae.